Molecule: ribosomal RNA, 1326 nt
Filed under: Triticum aestivum (bread wheat)
Lineage: Eukaryota; Viridiplantae; Streptophyta; Magnoliopsida; Poales; Poaceae
Description: partial small subunit ribosomal RNA
Source: RNAcentral
AUGGCUGCGCAAUCUUGGAACCCAUUCUCGUGCUGCGUCGGCGGCAGCAGAGUGGCGGACGACGACUACGACGACUGCAAGCGGCGGAUCAGGCGGAGUGUGAAAGGCUGCCCGAGGUCGUCCUCGAGGAUGUCCUUCAAGAGCCUCAGCUCGUCGGGGACGCUGUCGCCGGAGGAUCUGUCCAUCACGCUGUCCGGCUCCAACCUGCACGCCUUCACCUACGCCGAGCUCCACAAGGCCACGGGGAGCUUCUCGCGCGCCAACUACCUCGGCUGCGGCGGCUUCGGCCCGGUCUACAAGGGCGCCGUCGACGACAAGCUCCGCCCCGGGCUGGCCGCGCAGGCCGUCGCCGUCAAGUACCUCGACCUGGACUGCGGCACGCAGGGCCACAAGGAGUGGCUGGUUUUCUUCCUUGGGCAACUGAGGCACAAGAACUUGGUGAAAUUGAUCGGGUACUGCUACGAGGACGAGCACCGGAUGCUGGUCUACGAGUUCAUGAGCGGCGAGAGCCUGGAGAAGCACCUCUUCAAGAGCAUAAAUGGCUCUCUCCCAUGGAUGACAAGGAUGAAGAUCGCUGUCGGCACGGCCAAGGGCCUUGCCUUUCUCCAUGACGCAGACCCACCGGUGAUCUACGGCGACUUCAAGGCCUCCAACAUCUUGCUCGACUCGGAUUACAACACCAAAUUGUCCGACUUUGGGUUGGCCCAAGAUGGGCCCCAAGGCGACGAAACACACGUGACAACACGUGUCAUGGGGACUCAUGGUUAUGCGGCGCCGGAAUACAUUAUGACGGGCCACUUGACUGCCAAGAGUGAUGUAUAUAGCUUUGGUGUAGUGCUUCUGGAGCUUCUCUCCGGGCUGCGAUCAGUGGAUCGUUCACGACGGAUAAGGGAGCAGAACCUGGUGGAUUGGGCUAGACCAUACCUCAAGCACUCUGACAGAUUGUACAAAGUCAUGGACCUAGCUCUCGAGUGCCAAUACUCAUGCAAAGGCGCCGAGGUGGCAGCACUGGUGGCAUACAAGUGUCUCAGCCAGAACCCAAAGUCUAGGCCCACCAUGACGGAGGUGGUCAAGGCCCUCGAGCCCGUCCUCAGCAUGGAAGACUUCUUUCCUGUGGGCCCAUUUGUGUUCACAGUCAUUGUGGAGGAGGACAAGGUGGUGGACAUGAAGGUGGGGGUCGAGGAGAAGCACCAGCACCGUUGCCAGAACCAUCAAGACAGGCAUCGGCAGAAGUACCCCGACUCAGCAAUCCAUGCCGGCACUGUGCCCCGCGCCCGCGAUGGGUUCAUUACCGGGUACAACCGGGAGAAAGGGGCAAAAGACUAA